RNAcentral lists this transfer RNA (75 nucleotides) under compost metagenome. Its description in RNAcentral is "tRNA-Asn". It matches the Rfam family "tRNA". Rfam says of the family: Transfer RNA (tRNA) molecules are approximately 80 nucleotides in length. The record is from RNAcentral.
UCCGGGAUAGCUCAGCGGUAGAGCAGCAGGCUGUUAACUUGUUGGUCCCUGGUUCGAAUCCAGGUCUCGGAGCCA